GCCCCCAUAGCUCAGGGGAUAGAGCACCGGUCUCCGGAACCGGGUGCCCAGGUUCGAAUCCUGGUGGGGGCG
This 72-nucleotide transfer RNA is filed under the name Natronoglycomyces albus. It matches the Rfam family "tRNA". Rfam says of the family: Transfer RNA (tRNA) molecules are approximately 80 nucleotides in length. Lineage: Bacteria; Bacillati; Actinomycetota; Actinomycetes; Glycomycetales; Glycomycetaceae. The record is from Rfam by way of RNAcentral.